RNAcentral lists this unclassified non-coding RNA (1094 nucleotides) under Hevea brasiliensis (rubber tree). The record is from RNAcentral. Lineage: Eukaryota; Viridiplantae; Streptophyta; Magnoliopsida; Malpighiales; Euphorbiaceae.
GGAAAGUUCUUACCCAAUAAAGAAUUUCAUAUCCCAAAAUAUUAUUUUACAAUCACUUUAUUAGUCGUGAAAAAACUUCGCCUACUCGUCUCUUUCUUUUUUCUACCUACCUCCCGAGGGUUUUAGCCCUUUGAAUCUAUCGUUUUUAGGCAACUCACCCUUCCCCCUCCGGGUAAGGGAGGGUUGCCCUCCUUAGUGGUUGUGUGUGUUUUCCCUCACUAUAUCUAGUGGGGUGUAUAUAUUUGUUUUUAGGUUGGUUGGUUCUUAACAAGCAGUGCUUAGUGUGAGGUUUUAGUAUUGGCCUAUUUUAAUCCUUGUAUUUUUCUAUUAUUGUUGCUGAUAUGCAUGAGGCAUUUGAUGGCAGAUGUAGUGGUUGUUGAGUGAUUUUUGUUGGAUCUGCUUAUCAUUGUGGUUGCAUGCAGGUGAAUUGCCAUAGUUGUGGUCUUUGAUUGAAUCUUUUGCUCAAUAAAAAACUCUGUUUUAGCCACAACAAUGUGAGGAUUCUGUGGGAUUAGUGGCAGCUCGUAGGGUGGCUUAUGGUUUCCUGCUCGGAAGGUACAAGUGAGAUGCCAAAGAGUGAUGUCUCCUUCUCCUUCCUCACUGUUGGUGUUGCGCGCUUUGUUUCUGGAGUUUCCUUGGCCCUCAUAGUUCUAUGAUCUUCUCAUUUCCCCUGUUUAGUGCCAAUUUCUGCUCAACUCAUAGGUUGUUAGGGCCUUUGUUGUCAUGCAUUUCGCCGAGUGUGGCUUGGAAUUGUGCGUCAGUUUGCUCAAAUCUCCCAUCGGUGAAAGUUGAAAGUUGCGGUGUUCCUCUGUUCCUUGUAUGAUGCGGCACUAUGGUUUGAGAGGAUGCCGGGUUUUGGGUUAACUUGCCUUAGCUAAGUUUUUUUACAAGUGGGGCCUCGGCCUUGUUGAGUGUGCUACGGUUUCUGGUUAGUUAGGCUUUUUUUUAGGCCUGGGAGCCUUUUAUGUAAUGGUUUCUCUGCAUUUAGCUUUCAAGACUACUUGUCAAUGAACAUCCCUGCAUUUUUUUAUCAAAAGGGACCUGCAUGCCGAUUAAUGUCCCUUUUAAUAUUAAUUAAGCAUGUGCAUAGAAAU